Molecule: ribosomal RNA, 253 nt
Filed under: uncultured bacterium
Lineage: Bacteria
Description: partial 16S ribosomal RNA
Rfam family: Bacterial small subunit ribosomal RNA
Source: RNAcentral
UACGUAGGGUGCAAGCGUUGUCCGGAAUUAUUGGGCGUAAAGAGCUCGUAGGCGGCCUGUUGCGUCCGCUGUGAAAACCCGGGGCUUAACCCCGGGCUUGCAGUGGAUACGGGCAGGCUGGAGGCAGGCAGGGGAGAACGGAAUUCCCGGUGUAGCGGUGAAAUGCGCAGAUAUCAGGAGGAACACCGGUGGCGAAGGCGGGUCUCUGGGCAGUAACUGACGCUGAGGAGCGAAAGCGUGGGGAGCGAACAGG